GUGAGUAACACGUGGGUAACCUGCCUGUAAGACGGGGAUAACUCCGGGAAACCGGAGCUAAUACCGGAUGAUAACGAGAAGCGCCUGCUUCUUUUUUGAAAGUCGGUUUCGGCUGACGCUUACAGAUGGGCCCGCGGCGCAUUAGCUAGUUGGUGAGGUAACGGCUCACCAAGGCGACGAUGCGUAGCCGACCUGAGAGGGUGAUCGGCCACACUGGGACUGAGACACGGCCCAGACUCCUACGGGAGGCAGCAGUAGGGAAUCUUCGGCAAUGGACGAAAGUCUGACCGAGCAACGCCGCGUGAGCGAUGAAGGCCUUCGGGUCGUAAAGCUCUGUUGUCAGAGAAGAACAAGUACCGGAGUAACUGCCGGUACCUUGACGGUACCUGACCAGAAAGCCACGGCUAACUACGUGCCAGCAGCCGCGGUAAUACGUAGGUGGCAAGCGUUAUCCGGAAUUAUUGGGCGUAAAGCGCGCGCAGGCGGUCUUUUAAGUCUGAUGUGAAAGCCCACGGCUCAACCGUGGAGGGUCAUUGGAAACUGGGGGACUUGAGUGCAGGAGAGAAAAGUGGAAUUCCACGUGUAGCGGUGAAAUGCGUAGAGAUGUGGAGGAACACCAGUGGCGAAGGCGGCUUUUUGGCCUGUAACUGACGCUGAGGCGCGAAAGCGUGGGGAGCAAACAGGAUUAGAUACCCUGGUAGUCCACGCCGUAAACGAUGAGUGCUAGGUGUUGGGGGGUUCCACCCUCAGUGCUGACGUUAACACAUUAAGCACUCCGCCUGGGGAGUACGGCCGCAAGGCUGAAACUCAAAGGAAUUGACGGGGGCCCGCACAAGCAGUGGAGCAUGUGGUUUAAUUCGAAGCAACGCGAAGAACCUUACCAGGUCUUGACAUCCUCUGACCACUUGAGAGAUCAAGCUUUCCCCUUCGGGGGACAAAAUGACAGGUGGUGCAUGGUUGUCGUCAGCUCGUGUCGUGAGAUGUUGGGUUAAGUCCCGCAACGAGCGCAACCCUUGACCUUAGUUGCCAGCAUUCAGUUGGGCACUCUAAGGUGACUGCCGGUGACAAACCGGAGGAAGGUGGGGAUGACGUCAAAUCAUCAUGCCCCUUAUGACCUGGGCUACACACGUGCUACAAUGGGUGGUACAAAGGGUUGCAAACCCGCCAGGCCGACCCAAUCCCAAAAAGCCACUCUCAGUUCGGAUUGUAGGUUGCAACUCGCCUACAUGAAGCCGGAAUUGCUAGUAAUCGCGGAUCAGCAUGC
Molecule: ribosomal RNA, 1264 nt
Filed under: Fictibacillus enclensis
Lineage: Bacteria; Bacillati; Bacillota; Bacilli; Caryophanales; Fictibacillaceae
Description: bacterial SSU rRNA
Rfam family: Bacterial small subunit ribosomal RNA
Source: RNAcentral